This 373-nucleotide ribosomal RNA is filed under the name uncultured bacterium. RNAcentral's name for it is "bacterial SSU rRNA". It matches the Rfam family "Bacterial small subunit ribosomal RNA", at positions 525 to 896 of the family's 1533-position model. The record is from RNAcentral.
ACGUAGGGUGCAAGCGUUGUUCGGAAUUACUGGGCGUAAAGCGUACGUAGGCGGUAGAUUAAGUCGAAUGUUAAAGCCUGAGGCUCAACCUCAGAGAUGCAUUCGAUACUGGUUUACUAGAGGGUGAUAGAGGAAAGCGGAAUUCCGAGUGUAGCGGUGAAAUGCGUAGAUAUUCGGAGGAACAUCAGUAGCGAAGGCGGCUUUCUGGGUCACACCUGACGCUGAGGUACGAAAGCGUGGGGAGCAAACGGGAUUAGAUACCCCGGUAGUCCACGCUGUAAACGAUGGGUGCUAGGUGUAGCGGGUAUCGACCCCUGCUGUGCCGUAGCUAACGCGUUAAGCACCCCGCCUGGGGAGUACGCACGCAAGUGUG